GGACUCGCACAAGCGGUGGAGCAUGCGGUUUAAUUCGAUGCAACGCGAAAAACCUUACCAGGUCUUGACAUACCAGUGCCAGGACUAGAGAUAGUCCCUUUCUUCGGAACACUGGAUACAGGUGGUGCAUGGUUGUCGUCAGCUCGUGUCGUGAGAUGUUGGGUUAAGUCCCGCAACGAGCGCAACCCUUAUCAUUAGUUGCUAACAUUAAGUUGAGAACUCUAAUGAGACCGCCGGUGACAAACCGGAUGAAGGUGGGGAUGACGUCAAAUCAUCAUGCCCCUUAUGACCUGGGCUACACGCGUGCUACAAUGGCUGGUACAAAGAGUCGCAAUACCGUGAGGUGGAGCUAAUCUCAUAAAGCCAGUCUCAGUUCGGAUUGUAGUCUGCAACUCGACUACAUGAAGUUGGAAUCGCUAGUAAUCGUAAAUCAGCAUGUUACGGUGAAUACGUUCUCGAGUCUU
RNAcentral lists this ribosomal RNA (464 nucleotides) under uncultured bacterium. RNAcentral's name for it is "bacterial SSU rRNA". It matches the Rfam family "Bacterial small subunit ribosomal RNA", at positions 917 to 1382 of the family's 1533-position model. The record is from RNAcentral.